CCUACGGGAGGCAGCAGUGUGGAAUAUUGGACAAUGGGGGCAACCCUGAUCCAGCCAUGCCGCGUGUGUGAAGAAGGCCCUCGGGUUGUAAAGCACUUUCAGUGAGGAAGAACGCCUGGUGGUUAAUACCCAUCAGGAAAGACAUCACUCACAGAAGAAGCACCGGCUAACUCCGUGCCAGCAGCCGCGGUAAUACGGAGGGUGCGAGCGUUAAUCGGAAUUACUGGGCGUAAAGCGCGCGUAGGUGGCUUGAUAAGCCGGUUGUGAAAGCCCCGGGCUCAACCUGGGAACGGCAUCCGGAACUGUCAAGCUAGAGUGCAGGAGAGGAAGGUAGAAUUCCCGGUGUAGCGGUGAAAUGCGUAGAGAUCGGGAGGAAUACCAGUGGCGAAGGCGGCCUUCUGGACUGACACUGACACUGAGGUGCGAAAGCGUGGGUAGCAAACAGGAUUAGAUACCCGGGUAGUC
Molecule: ribosomal RNA, 465 nt
Filed under: Vreelandella stevensii
Lineage: Bacteria; Pseudomonadati; Pseudomonadota; Gammaproteobacteria; Oceanospirillales; Halomonadaceae
Description: partial 16S ribosomal RNA
Rfam family: Bacterial small subunit ribosomal RNA
Source: RNAcentral